This 252-nucleotide ribosomal RNA is filed under the name uncultured bacterium. RNAcentral's name for it is "partial 16S ribosomal RNA". It matches the Rfam family "Bacterial small subunit ribosomal RNA", at positions 524 to 776 of the family's 1533-position model. The record is from RNAcentral.
UACGUAGGUCCCGAGCGUUGUCCGGAUUUAUUGGGCGUAAAGCGAGCGCAGGUGGUUUAUUAAGUCUGGUGUAAAAGGCAGUGGCUCAACCAUUGUAUGCAUUGGAAACUGGUAGACUUGAGUGCAGGAGAGGAGAGUGGAAUUCCAUGUGUGGCGGUGAAAUGCGUAGAUAUAUGGAGGAACACCGGUGGCGAAAGCGGCUCUUUGGCCUGUAACUGACACUGAGGCUCGAAAGCGUGGGGAGCAAACAGG